UNUGAAGUUAAAGGCUGUGGCUUAANCAUAGUACGCUUUGGAAACUGUUUAACUNGAGUGCAGAAGGGGAGAGUGGAAUUCCAUGUGUAGCGGUGAAAUGCGUAGAUAUAUGGAGGAACACCGGUGGCGAAAGCGGCUCUCUGGUCUGUAACUGACGCUGAGGCUCGAAAGCGUGGGGAGCGAACAGGAUUAGAUACCCUGGUAGUNCACGCCGUAAACGAUGAGUGCUAGGUGUUAGGCCCUUUCCGGGGCUUAGUGCCGCAGCUAACGCAUUAAGCACUCCGCCUGGGGAGUACGACCGCAAGGUUGAAACUCAAAGGAAUUGACGGGGGCCCGCACAAGCGGUGGAGCAUGUGGUUUAAUUCGAAGCAACGCGAAGAACCUUACCAGGUCUUGACAUCCCGAUGCCCGCUCUAGAGAUAGAGUUUUACUUCGGUACAUCGGUGACAGGUGGUGCAUGGUUGUCGUCAGCUCGUGUCGUGAGAUGUUGGGUUAAGUCCCGCAACGAGCGCAACCCUUAUUGUUAGUUGCCAUCAUUCAGUUGGGCACUCUAGCGAGACUGCCGGUAAUAAACCGGAGGAAGGUGGGGAUGACGUCAAAUCAUCAUGCCCCUUAUGACCUGGGCUACACACGUGCUACAAUGGCUGGUACAACGAGUCGCAAGUCGGUGACGGCAAGCUAAUCUCUUAAAGCCAGUCUCAGUUCGGAUUGUAGGCUGCAACUCGCCUACAUGAAGUCGGAAUCGCUAGUAAUCGCGGAUCAGCACGCCGCGGUGAAUACGUUCCCGGGCCUUGUACACACCGCCCGUCACACCACGAGAGUUUGUAACACCCGAAGUCGGUGAGGUAACCUUUUAGGAGCCAGCCG
RNAcentral lists this ribosomal RNA (867 nucleotides) under uncultured bacterium. RNAcentral's name for it is "bacterial SSU rRNA". It matches the Rfam family "Bacterial small subunit ribosomal RNA", at positions 588 to 1455 of the family's 1533-position model. The record is from RNAcentral.